RNAcentral lists this unclassified non-coding RNA (379 nucleotides) under uncultured bacterium. Its description in RNAcentral is "contains 16S-23S intergenic spacer region". The record is from RNAcentral.
UCCUGGUUUCCCAGGCAGUCUCGCCAAAGUGCCCCAAAAUGGGUAGCAACUGGCGACAGGAGUUGCGCUCGUUAAAGGACUUAACCUAACAUCUCACGACACGAGCUGACGACAGCCAUGCAGCACCUGUGCACAUGCUCAAGGUUUCCCCUGAGAAAUCAUGUUUCCACAACAGUCAUAUGCAUGUCAAGCCCAGGUAAGGUUUCUCGCGUAGUGUCGAAUUAAACCACAUGUUCCACCGCUUGUGCGGGCCCCCGUCAAUUUCUUUGAGUUUUAAUCUUGCGACCGUACUCUUCAGGUGGAUCACUUAACGCGUUAGCUGCGACACCCAGGCACAAGGCCCAGACGUCUAGUGAUCAUCGUUUACUGCGUGGACUAC